AUCCAUGGCGGGCCGGACGAGGCAGCCGCAAGGCUGACCGGGCAAUGGUUGUGACACCGGUUUCCACCCUCGUCGUCAGGCCCGCCGCCCUC
RNAcentral lists this non-coding RNA (92 nucleotides) under Cupriavidus taiwanensis. Lineage: Bacteria; Pseudomonadati; Pseudomonadota; Betaproteobacteria; Burkholderiales; Burkholderiaceae. The record is from RNAcentral.